CUUCACAAAUCCUGUUACAUUUUCUAUUUCCCUGUUUGUUUUUUCAUCUCGUUAUUCAUUGCUUUCCAUCCAGAAGCUGAAAGGUGUCUCCACACCUUGGGCCUCUUUUCUCCUCCCAUGGAGGCCACCAGAGGAGAUCCAGGCAAUCCCCAGUGUGGCUCUUUGCCUCCCUCAAGUGACUGGCACCAACACCAACCUCUGUGCAGCUGCAGCACCUUCCUGCGACUCAGCUGCAGACUGGAGUAAUUUGCUGAUGCUGUACAAGGAAUUGUCUCUCCUGGAGUCCUGGCUGGUGUGAUCAGAACUCACAUAUGGUACCAGAACAAAGGGCCCUUCAGCAACCUUGGGAUGAGACAAAUGGUCCUUGGAAGGUGUCUCUCUCUCCAGUGACCGCAACAGCAACCCAGAAAUGCUGCAGAGCCUUCACCACAGCUGCAAAGCACAAACCCCACAACAGUUCUCUGCCAGAGGAAGAAACUAAGAACAUCCUAAGGGAGAAUGCACAGAGGAUCCUAGGAAGUGCUUUUACCUCAGUCUGGACAUGUGGCUAGUAACAAAAUGACAGGAUCUUUAUGGUGUAUGAGCCUUGACCCCAACCUCUGAAGGAGGAAUCAGACCUGGAGAAAAGUUCCUGCAAUUCAAAGAAAUGAAGUGGCAACUUCUGGGAGAAGAAUGUUGAAACUCAAACCUGGAUUUCUAGCCUGAGUGUCCAUCAGGCCUUGAUAACCAAGCUGCACCAGGAAGAUGAGCAAUAACUGCAUUGCCAUGUGCCAGGGACCAAUGGGCAGAACACCCUGCAGGGGCCUCAGAAGGCUCCCAGCUUGCCUGGUAUCCAUGAAUCCAAAUGGAAAAGAGAAAACGGCAAAUGACACUCAAUCCCAAAGUGAGCCAAUCUGUCCUUGUACCCAGAGAAACAACUGACAGCUGACACAGGAUGGGACCUGCAGGGAUUUCUGCAGGAGCAAAGGCUCCUCUGGGGAAGAUUAAAGCUCAGUGCAAACCCCAAGGUCACUUCUACAUGAGCAGUGGGAAGGGAACAGGGUAAAACUUGGGAUCACCUGAGCUUGCUGGCAUCCAGCAGGGUUGGGGUUUAUUGCACUGGAGAUUCCACAAAACUUUCACCCACCAGGAGCUCUGGGCUCUGCAGAGUCUGAUGGAUAUCCUGAAAAAUUUUGGAGUGACAUUUUGGAGGGUAGCUGGCAAAACACGAGCCAGCAAGACAUUGUAGAAAGAUGAAUUCAUAAGCAGAAAGU
Molecule: long non-coding RNA, 1253 nt
Organism: Zonotrichia albicollis (white-throated sparrow)
Lineage: Eukaryota; Metazoa; Chordata; Aves; Passeriformes; Passerellidae
Source: Ensembl